Molecule: transfer RNA, 70 nt
Filed under: Loxodonta africana (African savanna elephant)
Lineage: Eukaryota; Metazoa; Chordata; Mammalia; Proboscidea; Elephantidae
Rfam family: tRNA
About the family: Transfer RNA (tRNA) molecules are approximately 80 nucleotides in length.
Source: Rfam by way of RNAcentral
ACAGUGGUCAUUCAGAGGUAGAAUUCCCGCCUUCCGUGCGGGAGACCUGGGUUAGAUUCCAGCAGAUGCA